This is a long non-coding RNA of Solanum lycopersicum (tomato), 452 nucleotides long. RefSeq lists it as uncharacterized. NCBI's taxonomy places the organism in Eukaryota, Viridiplantae, Streptophyta, Magnoliopsida, Solanales, Solanaceae. The record is from RefSeq and is a predicted model, not a curated record.
CAGGCAUACUCAUUUCCAUCCCUCUUCUCUUUAACCUAAUUUUUUUUAUCUAUAUGUGGAGCUUAGCAGAAGAAGAACAAUGGAAAAUAGAAGUUGUAGAGCUUAGCAUAAGCAGAACAAUGGAAGAUGGAAAUGGAGGUUUUAUUCUUCAACUGUUGGAGGUUCUCUUCUUCAAUCUUUGAGGUUACAGCUGAAGAAACUACAAGUUUGAACUUUUGAGAUAUCAAUGGAUAAUUUAGAUAGAAGUUGGAUGAGUAUGAGAUGAUGCAGUGAUAAACAUAUUAGUGGAGUAAAUGAUUUUCUUGAUAAGACAUUUCAACGAGCUUCAAAAGGAAAUAAAAUAUUAUGCACUUGCAAAAAUUGCAUCAAUCGUUAUUGACAUUACAGAAAUGUGGUGGAGGAUCACUUGAUUGUAAAUGGAUUUAUGGAUGGAUAGAACAAAUGGAUUUUUC